AUACGUAGGUGGCAAGCGUUGUCCGGAAUUAUUGGGCGUAAAGGGCGCGUAGGCGGCGCGGUAAGUCUGGAGUGAAAGUCCUGCUUUCAAGGUGGGAAUUGCUUUGGAUACUGCCGCGCUUGAGUGCAGGAGAGGUUAUCGGAAUUCCCGGUGUAGCGGUGAAAUGCGUAGAGAUCGGGAGGAACACCAGUGGCGAAGGCGGGUAACUGGACUGCAACUGACGCUGAGGCGCGAAAGUGUGGGGAGCAAACAGGAUUAGAUACCCUGGUAGUCCACACUGUAAACGAUGAAUGCUAGGUGUAAGAGGUAUCGACCCCUUUUGUGCCGGAGUCAACACAAUAAGCAUUCCGCCUGGGGAGUACGGCCGCAAGGUUGAAACUCAAAUGAAUUGGCGGGG
RNAcentral lists this ribosomal RNA (397 nucleotides) under uncultured bacterium. Its description in RNAcentral is "partial 16S ribosomal RNA". It matches the Rfam family "Bacterial small subunit ribosomal RNA", at positions 523 to 918 of the family's 1533-position model. The record is from RNAcentral.